GACGAACGCUGGCGGCGUGCCUAAUACAUGCAAGUAGAACGCUGAAGGAGGAGCUUGCUUCUCCGGAUGAGUUGCGAACGGGUGAGUAACGCGUAGGUAACCUGCCUGGUAGCGGGGGAUAACUAUUGGAAACGAUAGCUAAUACCGCAUAACAGUAGAUAUUGCAUGAUAUCUGCUUGAAAGGUGCAAUUGCAUCACUACCAGAUGGACCUGCGUUGUAUUAGCUAGUUGGUGAGGUAACGGCUCACCAAGGCGACGAUACAUAGCCGACCUGAGAGGGUGAUCGGCCACACUGGGACUGAGACACGGCCCAGACUCCUACGGGAGGCAGCAGUAGGGAAUCUUCGGCAAUGGACGGAAGUCUGACCGAGCAACGCCGCGUGAGUGAAGAAGGUUUUCGGAUCGUAAAGCUCUGUUGUAAGAGAAGAACGAGUGUGAGAGUGGAAAGUUCACACUGUGACGGUAUCUUACCAGGAAGGGACGGCUAACUACGUG
Molecule: ribosomal RNA, 495 nt
Filed under: uncultured bacterium
Lineage: Bacteria
Description: partial 16S ribosomal RNA
Rfam family: Bacterial small subunit ribosomal RNA
Source: RNAcentral